AUUGAACGCUGGCGGCAGGCCUAACACAUGCAAGUCGAGCGGAUGAAGGGAGCUUGCUCCUGGAUUCAGCGGCGGACGGGUGAGUAAUGCCUAGGAAUCUGCCUGGUAGUGGGGGAUAACGUCCGGAAACGGGCGCUAAUACCGCAUACGUCCUGAGGGAGAAAGUGGGGGAUCUUCGGACCUCACGCUAUCAGAUGAGCCUAGGUCGGAUUAGCUAGUUGGUGGGGUAAAGGCCUACCAAGGCGACGAUCCGUAACUGGUCGGAGAGGAUGAUCAGUCACACUGGAACUGGGACACGGUCCAGACUCCUACGGGAGGCAGCAGUCGGGAAUAUUGGACAAGGGGCGAAAGCCUGAUCCAGCCAGGCCGCGUGUGUGAAGAAGGUCUUCGGAUUGUAAAGCACUUUAAGUUGGGAUGAAGGGCAGUAAGUUAUUACCUUGCUGUUUUGACGUUACCAACAGAAUAAGCACCGGCUAACUUCGUG
This 484-nucleotide ribosomal RNA is filed under the name uncultured bacterium. RNAcentral's name for it is "partial 16S ribosomal RNA". It matches the Rfam family "Bacterial small subunit ribosomal RNA", at positions 30 to 507 of the family's 1533-position model. The record is from RNAcentral.